AACAUAUUGGUCGCAAGCUACAAGAAACUCAAUUAUCUUGUGGAGUGCUGGAAACGUCAAUGAAAUCUUGCUCAGCAGCCAUGGUUGGUGUGUUUCUUCUUGCGUAUAUCUCCGUGAAUUUAUUCCUUAAAUGUCAAGGUAUGUUCCAGUAAUGCGCUGAAUAAACUACUUGUAAAUGUGAUAUUGUACUUACCAGGAUUAAAAUGUCUCUAACUUCUUUCCAUCACAGGUCAAAAGAUUAAUCAAGCUAAGAUUUUCAGUGAAAAUGCUGAAGUACCAGAAGGUGGUAGACUGGAAGUUACUUGCAGCACAUUUGGUUUUACAGGAAAGGCAGUUUAUUUAUAUCUGUGUAAAAAUGGUAAAGCUAUUGAUAUGAAAAACAGACCCACUCAACAAGAUGUUGGCUUUAAAAUAGAGAAAAUAGAAAUGAACCAUGCAGGCAACUACAGCUGUGUGUUUUCAGAAGAGCAGUUGCAAAUAAACAAAGUGAUGGGAUAUGGUUAUAAUUACAUCUUCAUAAACGUGACUGAAUCUUUUAUUUACACACAGAUAUAUUUGCUUAAGUCUGAGGUGCCAGUGGGAAGUAAUGUUGAAUUCAACUGCAAAACAUUCAAUCCUUUACCCAAAAAACAGUCCAGGAACAUGAUCUUGGUUUAUCUAAUCAAAAAUGGAAAGCCUAUUAAAGUUAAUAUUUGGGACACAGAGAAGAUGAUGACAACAUUCACCCUCAGAGAAGUCCAGUUGGAAGAUGCUGGGACAUACAGUUGUGUUAUAUUGUUAAACAUACUCCCUUACCAUGGAAUGAGACUUCGUCAAAAUAUUAAAGCUUAUCUUCAGAUAAUUGCGACAUCUAACAGCAGCAUUGACAAAGUCAUAACUGUCAUAAUGAGAUCCAUAGUCAUAAUGUGUACCAUAGUUUUACUUCUCAGUCUGUUUCUGGGAAUCUGGGCACUGAUCCGAAAACAAGGUAGUAUUUUCUCUAGAUCUAAAAUCACUGACACAUUUCACUUUCUUGAAUUGUUCUGUUUAAAUCCUAAUACUCUUAUUUCUUUCUAAUAGGAUGCCUUGGAAUCCAAAAAAAUGAAAGGUUGGUUUGAGAAGUUACUAACUAGAAACUAAAGUAAAUAAGAAAUUAAAACAUACCAGAUAUUAGAUUUAGGACAAUUCUGAUGCAUUCUUAAUCAACAGAUCCUCGAAAAAUGAGACAGAGCUCAGAGGAACAGAAGCGUUAUAUGAAGGAUGUUGUUGUUUCUUGUUGGAUGAUUUCCUAUGAAAAACAGAAAGCUGCGGUAGGCUGUUGCUAUAGAUAACAACUGAGCUCAUGGACUUUAAUUAAUCAUUGUGUUAAUUAACUGUUAACUGUUGUUUAAUAACUUUCAUACAUUGCCGAGUCAACCUGAUCUCAUGAGAAAAUCGAACUACUUUACAAAGCAGAAGUAUCAUAUGAAUUCGUACAGUUUUUAGAAAAAAAAAGCACAUAAUAAAGGGAUAGUUUACCCAAAAAAAUGGCA
Molecule: long non-coding RNA, 1511 nt
Organism: Cyprinus carpio (common carp)
Lineage: Eukaryota; Metazoa; Chordata; Actinopteri; Cypriniformes; Cyprinidae
Source: Ensembl